AUAGAGCGGUCCCUCUGCUGAUGAAAACCAGACCAGCCCUGACCCUGCAGCUCUGGGAGAGGAGCCCAGCCUGGGAUUUUCAGGUGUUUGCAUUUGGUGAUCAGCACAGAACACAGAGACUGAACUUACCAUGGAAUUUGUGCUGAGCUGGGUUUUCCUUGUUGCUAUUUUAAAAGGUGUCCAGUGUGAGGUGCAGCUGGUGGAGUCUGGGGGAGGCUUGGUUCAGCCCGGGGGGUCCCUGAGACUCUCCUGUGCAGCCUCUGGAUUCACCUUCAGCGGCUAUGGCAUGCACUGGGUCCGCCAGGCUCCAGGGAAGGGGCUGGAGUGGGUCUCAUACAUUAGUAGUCCUAGUGGUAGUAGCACAUACUACGCAGACUCCGUGAAGGGCCGAUUCACCAUGUCCAGAGACAACGCCAAGAACUCGCUGUAUCUGCAGAUGAACAGCCUGAGAGCCGAGGACACGGCCGUGUAUUACUGUGCGAGACACAGUGAGGGGAAGUCAGUGUGAGCCCGGACACAAACCUCCUGCAGGGGACCCCGCGAC
Non-coding RNA from Callithrix jacchus (white-tufted-ear marmoset), 544 nucleotides. The record is from the annotation of a RefSeq genome assembly. Lineage: Eukaryota; Metazoa; Chordata; Mammalia; Primates; Cebidae.